GAGAGGGGAACGGGCGAGUAAUAUAUCGGAACGUACCCUAGAGUGGGGGAUAACGUAGCGAAAGUUACGCUAAUACCGCAUACGAUCUAAGGAUGAAAGUGGGGGAUCGCAAGACCUCAUGCUCGUGGAGCGGCCGAUAUCUGAUUAUCUAUUUGGUAGGGUAAAAGCCUACCAAGGCAUCGAUCAGUAUCUGGUCUGAGAGGACGACCAGCCACACUGGAACUGAGACACGGUCCAGACUCCUACGGGAGGCAGCAGUGGGGAAUUUUGGACAAUGGGCGAAAGCCUGAUCCAGCAAUGCCGCGUGAGUGAAGAAGGCCUUCGGGUUGUAAAGCUCUUUUGUCAGGGAAGAAACGGUGAGAGCUAAUAUCUCUUGCUAAUGACGGUACCUGAAGAAUAAGCACCGGCUAACUACGUGCCAUCAGCCGCGGUAAUACGUAGGGUGCAAGCGUUAAUCGGAAUUACUGGGCGUAAAGCGUGCGCAGGCGGGUUUGUAAGUCUGAUGUGAAAUCCCCGGGCUCAACCUGGGAAUUGCAUUGGAGACUGCGAGGCUAGUAUCUGGCAGAGGGGGGUAGAAUUCCACGUGUAGCAGUGAAAAUGCGUAGAUAUGUGGAGGAACACCGAUGGCGAAGGCAGCCCCCUGGGUCAAGAUUUGACGCUCAUGCUCGAAAGCGUGGGGAGCAAACAGGAUAAUAUACCUCUGGUAGUCCCACGCCCUAAACGAUGUCUACUAAUUGUCGGGUCUUAAUUUGGACUUG
Molecule: ribosomal RNA, 758 nt
Filed under: Janthinobacterium sp.
Lineage: Bacteria; Pseudomonadati; Pseudomonadota; Betaproteobacteria; Burkholderiales; Oxalobacteraceae
Description: bacterial SSU rRNA
Rfam family: Bacterial small subunit ribosomal RNA
Source: RNAcentral